GUGCCCGUGGCCGAUUGGCUUAGGCACCAGCCUUCCAAGCUGGAUAGGCGGGUUCGAUUCCCGCCGGGCACU
RNAcentral lists this transfer RNA (72 nucleotides) under Rhodopirellula sp. Its description in RNAcentral is "tRNA-Gly". It matches the Rfam family "tRNA". Rfam says of the family: Transfer RNA (tRNA) molecules are approximately 80 nucleotides in length. Lineage: Bacteria; Pseudomonadati; Planctomycetota; Planctomycetia; Pirellulales; Pirellulaceae. The record is from RNAcentral.